GGGUGGUGAAGUUGGCAUGGUAUUUGAGAUUUACGGAGAUUCUGAGGAUGGGUGGUGAAGUUGGCAUGGUAUUUGAGAUUUACGGAGAUUCUGAGGAUGGGUGGUGAAGUUGUCAUGGUAUUUGAGAUUUACGGAGGUACUGAGGUACUGAGGAUGGGUGGUGAAGUUGGCAUGGUAUUUGAGAUUUACGGAGUCUCUGACGAUGGGUGGUGAAGUUGGCAUGGUAUUUGAGAUUUACGGAGGUACUGAGGAUGGGUGGUGAAGUUGGCAUGGUAUUUGAGAUUUACGGAGGUUCUGAGAAUGGGUGGUGAAGUUGGCAUGGUAUUUGAGAUUUACGGAGGUUCUGACGAUGGGUGGUGAAGUUGGCAUGGUAUUUGAGAUUUACGGAGGUUCUGAGGGUGGGUGGUGAAGUUGGCAUGGUAUUUGAGAUUUACGGAGGUUCUGACGAUGGGUGGUGAAACAGUGACAGAGAGCGAGUGAAAAGGAAGGAGUUACAAAGUUCAAGUUCAAGUUCAAGUUCAAGUUUAUUAUCAUUUACUCAUAAACAGCAUUUAUCAGUAAUGAAAUUCUUUGUGCUCAAUGUCCGUUCAACUUAGAGAAAAAAAUAAAUGAAACACUGGAGAAUGGGGAAAAGGGGUAGGAAAAAGAGAAAAAAAUUGCAGUGC
Clupea harengus (Atlantic herring) is the source of this 665-nucleotide long non-coding RNA. The record is from Ensembl. NCBI's taxonomy places the organism in Eukaryota, Metazoa, Chordata, Actinopteri, Clupeiformes, Clupeidae.